RNAcentral lists this ribosomal RNA (253 nucleotides) under uncultured bacterium. RNAcentral describes it as "partial 16S ribosomal RNA". It matches the Rfam family "Bacterial small subunit ribosomal RNA", at positions 524 to 776 of the family's 1533-position model. The record is from RNAcentral.
UACAGAGACCUCAAGCGUUAUCCGGAUUUAUUGGGCGUAAAGCGUCCGCAGGUGGUUUGGCAACUUAGGGGUUAAAACCAACAGCUUAACUGUUGGAUCGCCUCUAAAAAUACCAAACUAGAGCAUGGAAGAGGUGAGCGGAAUUCUCGGUGUAGUCGUAAUAAGCGUUGAUAUCGAGAAGAACACCAAAUGCGAAGGCAGCUCACUGGUACAUUGCUGACACUCAGGGACGAAAGCGUGGGGAGCAAACAGG